Molecule: ribosomal RNA, 107 nt
Filed under: Nannospalax galili (Upper Galilee mountains blind mole rat)
Lineage: Eukaryota; Metazoa; Chordata; Mammalia; Rodentia; Spalacidae
Source: RNAcentral
ACCUAUGACCAUCGCUCCCUGAAUGCCCCUGAUCUUAGAAGUUAAGCAGGGUCAGGUCUGGUAAGUAUGUGGAUGGUAGAAAUAACACAACUAUGAAAUUAUUUAUU